This 686-nucleotide ribosomal RNA is filed under the name uncultured bacterium. Its description in RNAcentral is "bacterial SSU rRNA". It matches the Rfam family "Bacterial small subunit ribosomal RNA", at positions 824 to 1515 of the family's 1533-position model. The record is from RNAcentral.
CGGGUUUUAAUUAACUUGGUAACGCAGCUAACGCGUGAAGUAGACCGCCUGGGGAGUACGGUCGCAAGAUUAAAACUCAAAGGAAUUGACGGGGACCCGCACAAGCGGUGGAUGAUGUGGAUUAAUUCGAUGCAACGCGAAAAACCUUACCUACCCUUGACAUGUACGGAAGGCCGAAGAGAUUUGGCUGUGCUCGAAAGAGAACCGUAACACAGGUGCUGCAUGGCUGUCGUCAGCUCGUGUCGUGAGAUGUUGGGUUAAGUCCCGCAACGAGCGCAACCCUUGUCAUUAGUUGCUACGAAAGGGCACUCUAAUGAGACUGCCGGUGACAAACCGGAGGAAGGUGGGGAUGACGUCAAGUCCUCAUGGCCCUUAUGGGUAGGGCUUCACACGUCAUACAAUGGUACAUACAGAGCGCCGCCAACCCGCGAGGGGGAGCUAAUCGCAGAAAGUGUAUCGUAGUCCGGAUUGUAGUCUGCAACUCGACUACAUGAAGUUGGAAUCGCUAGUAAUCGCGGAUCAGCAUGUCGCGGUGAAUACGUUCCCGGGUCUUGUACACACCGCCCGUCACACCAUGGGAGCGGGUUUUACCAGAAGUAGGUAGCUUAACCGCAAGGAGGGCGCUUACCACGGUAGGAUUCGUGACUGGGGUGAAGUCGUAACAAGGUAGCCGUAUCGGAAGGUGC